CCUACGGUGGCUGCAGUGGGGAAUAUUGGACAAUGGGCGAAAGCCUGAUCCAGCCAUGCCGCGUGUGUGAAGAAGGCCUUCGGGUUGUAAAGCACUUUCAGUGGGGAAGAAAGCCUUGGGGCUAAUACCCUCGAGGAAGGACAUCACCCACAGAAGAAGCACCGGCUAACUCCGUGCCAGCAGCCGCGGUAAUACGGAGGGUGCGAGCGUUAAUCGGAAUUACUGGGCGUAAAGCGUGCGUAGGCGGUCUGAUAAGCCGGUUGUGAAAGCCCCGGGCUCAACCUGGGAACGGCAUCCGGAACUGUCAGGCUAGAGUGCAGGAGAGGAAGGUAGAAUUCCCGGUGUAGCGGUGAAAUGCGUAGAGAUCGGGAGGAAUACCAGUGGCGAAGGCGACCUUCUGGACUGACACUGACGCUGAGGUGCGAAAGCGUGGGUAGCAAACAGGAUUAGAUACCCGAGUAGUC
This 464-nucleotide ribosomal RNA is filed under the name Vreelandella stevensii. RNAcentral's name for it is "partial 16S ribosomal RNA". It matches the Rfam family "Bacterial small subunit ribosomal RNA", at positions 338 to 795 of the family's 1533-position model. Lineage: Bacteria; Pseudomonadati; Pseudomonadota; Gammaproteobacteria; Oceanospirillales; Halomonadaceae. The record is from RNAcentral.